RNAcentral lists this ribosomal RNA (481 nucleotides) under uncultured bacterium. RNAcentral describes it as "partial 16S ribosomal RNA". It matches the Rfam family "Bacterial small subunit ribosomal RNA", at positions 29 to 523 of the family's 1533-position model. The record is from RNAcentral.
AAUGAACGUUGGCGGCGUGGAUUAGGCAUGCAAGUCGAGCGAGAACCCAGCAAUGGGGGACAGCGGCGCAAGGGACAGUAAUGUGUAGAUUAUCUGCCCUCGGGUCCGGGAUAGCUGCGGGAAACUGCAGGUAAUACCGGAUAACAUCUCCGGAUCAAAGGUGUGAUUCCGCCCGAGGAUGAGUCUGCAUCCUAUUAGCUAGUUGGCAGGGUAAUGGCCUACCAAGGCGAUGAUGGGUAGCGGGUGUGAGAGCACGACCCGCGUCAUUGGGACUGAGACACUGCCCAGACACCUACGGGUGGCUGCAGUCGAGAAUCUUCGGCAAUGGGCGCAAGCCUGACCGAGCGACGCCGCGUGUGGGAUGAAGGCCUUCGGGUUGUAAACCACUGUCAGAGGGGAUGAAAUGCAGGUGGGUUCUCCCAUCUGUUUGACAUAGCCUCAGAGGAAGGACGGGCUAAGUUCGUGCCAGCCGCCGCAGUAA